This 250-nucleotide unclassified non-coding RNA is filed under the name Hevea brasiliensis (rubber tree). Lineage: Eukaryota; Viridiplantae; Streptophyta; Magnoliopsida; Malpighiales; Euphorbiaceae. The record is from RNAcentral.
AUGCGCCUUACAAUCCCACUUGGUAGAAACAAUUCAAGUGUGGUCAGAAGGCUCGAUGCAUCAUUUUCUUGGCUUCUUCACCAAACUAAGUUUUAUCUUCUUAAGACGAAACCUCUUUCCUAUAAAUUUUCUCAGGCAGUGUCUCCCCAUUCUUCUCUUUCUUCACAACUUUUGACUUCAAAAAUUUUGCAUCCACUCUAUAAUCUUUGGGUGUGAUCGGUACCCCAUUACUCAAAGCUUCAUUAAAGAG